CUGAUAUCCCUGCAGAGUGAAGUCCUCUGUACAUUCACAGAACAGGUAUAGUAAAUGCAGCUGCAGUGCAAGCUUAUUCACAGUGCCCUAGAACCCCGAUUUGGAGGGAUUAUCAUUAGCAGGAUAGUUCAGUCUCAGUGCCCAAUCACUAGACCUGUCCC
Molecule: small RNA, 161 nt
Filed under: Chrysemys picta bellii (western painted turtle)
Lineage: Eukaryota; Metazoa; Chordata; Testudines; Emydidae
Description: TUC338 (ENSCPBG00000005539.1)
Source: RNAcentral